CAGAGUUGCAAAACUCCCUAAACCAUUGUGAACGUUACCUAAACCGUUGCUUCGGCGGGCGGCCCCGGGCGCCCCUGGGCCCCAUCGCGGGCGCCCGCCGGAGGUCACCAAACUCUUGAUAAUUUAUGGCCUCUCUGAGUCUUCUGUACUGAAUAAGUCA
RNAcentral lists this unclassified non-coding RNA (160 nucleotides) under soil metagenome. Its description in RNAcentral is "partial internal transcribed spacer 1". The record is from RNAcentral.